CCCUUUUCCAGGUGCCGACCUUAGCCAUGCAAAUUUGGGUGGAAGUCGUAACAUGUUAGCCGUAAUUCCCUGAUGUGGGGGAUAACCAUUGGAAACAUGGCUAAUACCGCAUGAUGCCUACGGGCCAAAGAGGGGGACCUUCGGGCCUCUCGCGUCAGGAUAUGCCUAGGUGGGAUUAGCUAGUUGGUGAGGUAAGGGCUCACCAAGGCGACGAUCCCUAGCUGGUCUGAGAGGAUGAUCAGCCACACUGGAACUGAGACACGGUCCAGACUCCUACGGGAGGCAGCAGUGGGGAAUAUUGCUCACUGGGCGCACGCCUGAUGCAGCCAUGCCCCGUGUGUGAAAAAAAGCAUUCCCUUUUUAUAGCACUUUCACUCUCGAGGAAAGAAGAGUCGUGAAUAUUUGCCGUUUUUUGACUUUACGACACAACAGAAACAGCCUAUCUCUACUGUCCGCAGCCCGCGGCAGUACUGAGAGUGGAGAGCGGUUAUUCGUCAUUUAUUAGUUCGUCGAGCGCAAGCCGCUGGUUUUGUUGUUUUUCUUAUGUUCAAAUCUCCAGGCCCCGCCUUCUCACUACCAUUUUAACUUGUUAGACUACGAUACUCUAGAGCGGGGGAGGAGUGUUGGAGUCUUCGUGUAUACGUUAAAUAUUCAUAAGAAAUUACAAGGAGUAAGGUGCCGACCGUA
Molecule: ribosomal RNA, 687 nt
Filed under: Vibrio sp. BBT52
Lineage: Bacteria; Pseudomonadati; Pseudomonadota; Gammaproteobacteria; Vibrionales; Vibrionaceae
Description: bacterial SSU rRNA
Rfam family: Bacterial small subunit ribosomal RNA (bases 1-488)
Source: RNAcentral